GCCCUGUGGCUCAGUUGGUAGAGCAUGGUGUUUGCAAUGCCAGCAUGGUGUGUGCAACACCAGGGUUGUGGGUUCAAUUCCCACAGGGGGCC
This 92-nucleotide transfer RNA is filed under the name Salmo salar (Atlantic salmon). It matches the Rfam family "tRNA". From Rfam's summary of the family: Transfer RNA (tRNA) molecules are approximately 80 nucleotides in length. Their secondary structure includes four short double-helical elements and three loops (D, anti-codon, and T loops). Further hydrogen bonds mediate the characteristic L-shaped molecular structure. tRNAs have two regions of fundamental functional importance: the anti-codon, which is responsible for specific mRNA codon recognition, and the 3' end, to which the tRNAs corresponding amino acid is attached (by aminoacyl-tRNA synthetases). tRNAs cope with the degeneracy of the genetic code in two manners: having more than one tRNA (with a specific anti-codon) for a particular amino acid; and 'wobble' base-pairing, i.e. permitting non-standard base-pairing at the 3rd anti-codon position. The record is from Rfam by way of RNAcentral. Lineage: Eukaryota; Metazoa; Chordata; Actinopteri; Salmoniformes; Salmonidae.